CCUACGGGAGGCUGCAGUGGGGAAUAUUCCACAAUGGGGGAAACCCUGAUGCAGCGACGCCGCGUGAGCGAAGAAGUAUUUCGGUAUGUAAAGCUCUAUCAGCAGGGAAGAAAUAGCGACCUUUGGGUCGCCAGACGGUACCUGCCUAAGAAGCACCGGCUAACUACGUGCCAGCAGCCGCGGUAAUACGGAGGAUGCGAGCGUUAUCCGGAUUUAGUGGGUGUAAAGGGUGCGUAGGUGGAAGAUUAAGUCAGCGGUAAAAUGUCGGUGCUCAACAAAGGAAUGCAGUAGAAACUGGUAAUCUAGAGUAUGCCAGAAGUAAGUGGAACGAGAGGUGUAGCGGUAAAAUGCAUAGAUAUAACUCAGAACUCCGAUUGCGAAGGCAGCAUACCGGCGCCAGACUGACGCUGAGGCACGAAAGCGUGGGGAUCGAACAGGAUUAGAUACCCGUGUAGUC
This 457-nucleotide ribosomal RNA is filed under the name uncultured bacterium. RNAcentral's name for it is "partial 16S ribosomal RNA". It matches the Rfam family "Bacterial small subunit ribosomal RNA", at positions 338 to 795 of the family's 1533-position model. The record is from RNAcentral.